Molecule: transfer RNA, 63 nt
Filed under: Curculionoidea sp. 7 KM-2017
Lineage: Eukaryota; Metazoa; Arthropoda; Insecta; Coleoptera
Description: tRNA-Gly
Source: RNAcentral
AUCUAUAUAAUAUAAAAAUUAUAUUUGAUUUCCAAUCAAAAAAUCUAACCUUUAGUAUAGAUA